RNAcentral lists this long non-coding RNA (682 nucleotides) under Solanum lycopersicum (tomato). RNAcentral describes it as "partial TCONS_00146279". The record is from RNAcentral. Lineage: Eukaryota; Viridiplantae; Streptophyta; Magnoliopsida; Solanales; Solanaceae.
AAUCUAAACAAAUUAAAUCCCAACCCACACCCGAAUCCACCUAUUAAUCACUCGCCCCAUCUAGAAUCUCCAAUUCCCCUUGCGUUUCUGUCCAUAAAAGAAACAUUGAUUCAAGGUCAAAAAAAAUUGUGAUAGAUGAAUCAAAAGAUCCAAAUAAGUAAAAUACAUGAUUCAAUUUUUUAUAACAAUUAUGAAGAACCUGUCACUUUCUACCUCAUAGAUAAAUUCUCCAAGAAAUUCCUUAAGUAUGCAUAGUUGUGGAAUUGAUCUGGACAUAUUGACACUUCAUUUCAGCAACUAUACAAUAAUGGAUAUGAAAUGCAACACCCAAAAUAUUCAUAAGUCGAUAAUUGAUUUUGGACUAAGAUAGUUUGGUGCAAUAUAACGGACAUUAAGAAAGAGGUUUCUCAUGAAAAUAAAGUACACAAUGGUGAGAAGUUUGAAAAAAUCAGAACAUAUCUUGCAGGUUUGAAAAAUGUUUGGUCUGCAAAGGGAAGCACCCUCAAAUUGAUUCUCAAAAAUCUAACAAGCCACCAAGAGCAAGGAGUAAGUCUUUUGAUGAAACGUCUUUUUAAACAUAGAAUUAGAAAUUCAAAAAAUCUUAGCUAUGUUCUUGAAGAAUGAGAAAAAUUCCCAUCGCAGAAGAAAAGAGAAAAUGGACCUAGUUUAUAAAUUUACUCUU